UGAUGCAGCGAGCGUCACAUUCCACAAAGCGGAGAGCAGUGAAUGCGGGUCUUCAGCUCCUUUUCUCCUUUACGUAGGUUGGGCUCUCAGUCAAUAGCAUGGUGCCUCCAGGCCCAGAGCUGUUCCUAACACAGUCAACCCCAGCUAGAACAUCCUCACACGCAUGCGCGGCCCUGCCUCUAAAUGCUUCCGGGCUCUUCCAACUGACGGCAUCCAUCAUCACUACAGUAACGAUCACAGAUCCUCCAAUCAGAGCCCCAGAGCAGCAGACAAUCAAGGCAAAGCAUGCUGGGUAGACGGAUAGAAACCAGACAGAGCGUCUUUAGGGAUAGAGAAAAACCCAACCUGGUGUCGUCGUCUGCACACCAAGAGUGGGAUGGACAACUCUCACAACACACGCAAAAGAACAACCCUGUUGACUGAGAUGUCUGUUUCCAGUGUAAUUGCCCUUCGAAAAACGAGAAGAGAACAAUGAUAUUUUUAAGACAAGCUGAGAGAUGUUAUCGCAACAUACUCACUGGGCAAGAGCGGUCAGGAGUGUUUUCAUACUAAAGGAAAUGGUACCUCGUGGAAUCUCAGGUCCGCACCAGGGAUAGAAGCCCUCCAGAGGGUCAGCUGAAUGGCAUUGCCCUUCUCCUUCAACUCAGCGAGAUUCAGCCACACUGCGGUGACUCACACUCACUUCAUUCCCCUGGAGAAGAGGAAACCAUACCACCAUGGUGCCAAGAUGUCCAAGAGCCUGAGAACCAGAUGGCCCAGCCUCAUUGCAGGCCCGGGGAGCACCUGAACCAGCUCUGGCUGUCUCACCUGUCUCAUGCCUUAGACCGAGCUUCCCCAUCCCAGGAGUGUGUCUUGGGGCUUCCCUAUGGCCCAGCACCCACCCAGCGAUGACGUGGGCCUCAGGGAACUGCUGAUGAGGGAACCUCAGAGUCCUGCUCCUGGUGAUAUGUUUCGAAGCCUGUCCAGGUUCCUGGGAGAGAUUUUGGAAAUCCCAGGAGUUGGAGAAUCACUGUUUAGGGAAGGUUCAAAGAGCAAACCAUUCACUCCUCCACCCAUCCAUCUAUUCACCCAUCUACUCAUCUACUCAUCCAUCCACCUAUCCAUUUAUUCACCUAUUAAUCCACCUAUCCACCCAUCCAUCUACUG
This is a long non-coding RNA of Mastomys coucha (southern multimammate mouse), 1146 nucleotides long. RefSeq lists it as uncharacterized. The record is from RefSeq and is a predicted model, not a curated record. The transcript has 4 exons. NCBI's taxonomy places the organism in Eukaryota, Metazoa, Chordata, Mammalia, Rodentia, Muridae.